RNAcentral lists this ribosomal RNA (435 nucleotides) under uncultured bacterium. RNAcentral's name for it is "bacterial SSU rRNA". It matches the Rfam family "Bacterial small subunit ribosomal RNA", at positions 28 to 507 of the family's 1533-position model. The record is from RNAcentral.
GAUGAACGCUGGCGGUCUGCUUAACACAUGCAAGUCGAACGGAAUCCUUCGGGAUUUAGUGGCGGACGGGUGAGUAACACGUGAGAAUCUGCACUCAGGAUGGGGACAACAGUGAGAAAUUACUGCUAAUACCGGAUGAUGUCUUCGGACCAAAGAUUUAUCGCCUUUAGAUGGGCCCGCGUUGGAUUAGCUAGUUGGUGGGGUAAAGGCCUACCAAGGCGACGAUCCAUAGCUGGUCUGAGAGGAUGAUCAGCCACACUGGGACUGAGACACGGCCCAGACUCCUACGGGAGGCAGCAGUGGGGAAUAUUGGACAAUGGGCGAAAGCCUGAUCCAGCAAUGCCGCGUGAGUGAUGAAGGCCUUAGGGUUGUAAAGCUCUUUUACCCGAGAUGAUAAUGACAGUAUCGGGAGAAUAAGCUCCGGCUAACUCCGUG